UGGUAUGUCUGCUCUAAAAGUGGAGUGAUC
Molecule: non-coding RNA, 30 nt
Filed under: Mus musculus (house mouse)
Lineage: Eukaryota; Metazoa; Chordata; Mammalia; Rodentia; Muridae
Source: RNAcentral